This 256-nucleotide ribosomal RNA is filed under the name uncultured Leptotrichia sp. RNAcentral describes it as "partial 16S ribosomal RNA". It matches the Rfam family "Bacterial small subunit ribosomal RNA", at positions 99 to 354 of the family's 1533-position model. Lineage: Bacteria; Fusobacteriati; Fusobacteriota; Fusobacteriia; Fusobacteriales; Leptotrichiaceae. The record is from RNAcentral.
CGGACGGGUGAGUAACGCGUAAAGAACUUGCCCUUUAGACUGGGAUAACAGAGGGAAACUUCUGAUAAUACUGGAUAAGUUAGUAUAUCGCAUGAUAUGCAAAUGAAAGCUACGGCACUAAAGGAGAGCUUUGCGUCCUAUUAGCUAGUUGGUAAGGUAAGAGCUUACCAAGGCGAUGAUAGGUAGCCGGCCUGAGAGGGUGGACGGCCACAAGGGGACUGAGAUACGGCCCUUACUCCUACGGGAGGCAGCAGGA